Molecule: ribosomal RNA, 500 nt
Filed under: uncultured bacterium
Lineage: Bacteria
Description: bacterial SSU rRNA
Rfam family: Bacterial small subunit ribosomal RNA
Source: RNAcentral
AGAGUUUGAUCAUGGCUCAGAAUCAACGCUGGCGGCGUGCCUCAGACAUGCAAGUCGAACGCGAAAGCUCCCUUCGGGGAGCAAGUAGAGUGGCGCACGGGUGAGUAACACGUAGGUAAUCUACCUUUGGAUGGGGAAUAACAACCGGAAACGGUUGCUAAUACCGCAUAAUGCAGCGGCACCUAAUGGUGACAGUUGUUAAAGCGGGGGAUCGCAAGACCUCGCGUCUGAAGAGGAGCCUGCGGCAGAUUAGCUAGUUGGUAGGGUAACGGCUUACCAAGGCGAUGAUCUGUAGCCGGCCUGAGAGGGCGGUCGGCCACACUGACACUGACAUACGGGUCAGACUCCUACGGGAGGCAGCAGUCGGGAAUUUUGCGCAAUGGACGAAAGUCUGACGCAGCAACGCCGCGUGAGGGAUGACGGCCUUCGGGUUGUAAACCUCUUUUGUCAGGGACGAUGAUGACGGUACCUGACGAAUAAGCCACGGCUAACUACGUGCC